RNAcentral lists this ribosomal RNA (248 nucleotides) under uncultured bacterium. RNAcentral's name for it is "partial 16S ribosomal RNA". It matches the Rfam family "Bacterial small subunit ribosomal RNA", at positions 523 to 769 of the family's 1533-position model. The record is from RNAcentral.
AUACGAAGGGUGCGAAGCGUUAAUCGGAAUUACUGGGCGUAAAGCGCGCGUAGGUGGUUUGGUAAGCGAUCUGUGAAAGCCCCGGGCUUAACCUGGGAAUUGCAGGUCGAACUGCCAGGCUAGAGUAUGGUAGAGGGGUGUGGAAUUUCCUGCGUAGCGGUGAAAUGCGUAGAUAUAGGAAGGAACAUCAGUGGCGAAGGCGACACCCUGGACCGAUACUGACACUGAGGCGCGAAAGCGUGGGUAGC